RNAcentral lists this ribosomal RNA (315 nucleotides) under soil fungal sp. DM2-183. Its description in RNAcentral is "eukaryotic LSU rRNA". It matches the Rfam family "Eukaryotic large subunit ribosomal RNA", at positions 113 to 432 of the family's 3401-position model. The record is from RNAcentral. Lineage: Eukaryota; Fungi.
AUUUGAAAUCUGGCCCCAGGCCCUAGUUGUAAUUUGCAGAGGAUGCUUUUGGCGCGGUGCCUUCCGAGUUCCCUGGAACGGGACGCCAUAGAGGGUGAGAGCCCCGUCUGGUUGGAUACCAAGCCUUUGUAAAGCUCCGUCCACGAGUCGAGUAGUUUGGGAAUGCUGCUCUAAAUGGGAGGUAUAUGUCUUCUAAAGCUAAAUACCGGCCAGAGACCGAUUGCGCACAAGUAGAGUGAUCGAAAGAUUAAAAGUAUUUUAGAAAGAUACUUAAACNUCACGUGAAAUUGUUAAAAGGGAAGCGUUUAUGACCAG